GCGCAAUGUCUCGUGAAACUUGUGUAACCGAUGUCAAAUAAAAUGUACAUAUCUGCCUUUAGAAGAUUUAAGGAAAUGUUCCGCGUAUAUAGAUUUAUAGUAUAUUAAAUAAAUAACAGAACUUUAGAAAAUUGAUCAAUAAAGUAUCAGCUAAAUAUUAUCAUUCGACAUGUACAUAUCAUCCUAUGAAUACUAUUUUCUGUUACUGUUAGUCAUUCUACCUGUAUAUCUCUUUUUUAAACUUUGGUCAUGGCUUGGAUGGGAAUUAUUUGUGAA
Molecule: long non-coding RNA, 276 nt
Organism: Acromyrmex echinatior (Panamanian leafcutter ant)
Lineage: Eukaryota; Metazoa; Arthropoda; Insecta; Hymenoptera; Formicidae
Source: RefSeq, a predicted model, not a curated record